AUUGAACGCUGGCGGCAGGCCUAACACAUGCAAGUCGAGCGGAUGAAGGGAGCUUGCUCCUGGAUUCAGCGGCGGACGGGUGAGUAAUGCCUAGGAAUCUGCCUGGUAGUGGGGGAUAACGUCCGGAAACGGGCGCUAAUACCGCAUACGUCCUGAGGGAGAAAGUGGGGGAUCUUCGGACCUCACGCUAUCAGAUGAGCCUAGGUCGGAUUAGUUAGUUGGUGGGGUAAAGGCCUACCAAGGCGACGAUCCGUAACUGGUCUGAGAGGAUGAUCAGUCACACUGGAACUGAGACACGGUCCAGACUCCUACGGGAGGCAGCAGUGGGGAAUAUCGGACAAUGGGCGAAAGCCUGAUCCAGCCAUGCCGCGUGUGUGAAGAAGGUCUUCGGAUUGUAAAGCACUUUAAGUUGGGAGGAAGGGCAGUAAGUUAAUACCUUGCUGUUUUGACGUUACCAACAGAAUAAGCACCGGCUAACUUCGUG
Molecule: ribosomal RNA, 484 nt
Filed under: uncultured bacterium
Lineage: Bacteria
Description: partial 16S ribosomal RNA
Rfam family: Bacterial small subunit ribosomal RNA
Source: RNAcentral